This 504-nucleotide ribosomal RNA is filed under the name uncultured bacterium. Its description in RNAcentral is "bacterial SSU rRNA". It matches the Rfam family "Bacterial small subunit ribosomal RNA", at positions 25 to 518 of the family's 1533-position model. The record is from RNAcentral.
CAGGAUGAACGCUAGCUACAGGCUUAACACAUGCAAGUCGAGGGGCAGCAUAUCGAAAGCUUGCUUUGAUGAUGGCGACCGGCGCACGGGUGAGUAACGCGUAUCCAACCUUCCCUAUACUAGAGGAUAGCCCGGCGAAAGUCGGAUUAAUACUCUAUGUUGUAUUUCGAGGACAUCUGAAUAAUACCAAAGGUUUACCGGUAUAGGAUGGGGAUGCGUCUGAUUAGGUUGUUGGCGGGGUAACGGCCCACCAAGCCCACGAUCAGUAGGGGUUCUGAGAGGAAGGUCCCCCACAUUGGAACUGAGACACGGUCCAAACUCCUACGGGAGGCAGCAGUGAGGAAUAUUGGUCAAUGGACGAGAGUCUGAACCAGCCAAGUAGCGUGCAAGGAUGACGGCCCUAUGGGUUGUAAACUGCUUUUAUACAGGGAUAAAGUGCACUACGUGUAGUGUUUUGUAGGUACUGUAUGAAUAAGGACCGGCUAAUUCCGUGCCAGCAGCUGC